GAUGAAGAACGCAGCGAAAUGCGAUAAGUAAUGUGAAUUGCAGAAUUCAGUGAAUCAUCGAAUCUUUGAACGCACCUUGCGCCCUUUGGCCAUUCCGAAGGGCAUGCCUGUUUGAGUAUCAUGAACACCUCAACUCUUUAUGGUUUUCCAUGAUGAGCUUGGACUUUGGGGGUUUUGCUGGCCUAUGGUCGGCUCCUCUAAAAUAAAUCAGCUUACCGGUGUUUGGUGGGUAUCAUGGGUGUGAUAACUAUCUACGCUUGUGGUUUUUCCAACAGGUAACCUUCGACAGCGGAGGUUCACUGGAGCUCAUAGAUGUCUCUCCUCAGCGAGGACAGCCCUUUGAAUGUUUGAUCUCAAAUCAGGUAGGACUACCCGCUGAACUUAAGCAUAUCAAUAAGCGGAGGA
Molecule: unclassified non-coding RNA, 405 nt
Filed under: soil metagenome
Description: partial contains 5.8S ribosomal RNA, internal transcribed spacer 2, and large subunit ribosomal RNA
Rfam family: 5.8S ribosomal RNA (bases 1-121)
Source: RNAcentral